AUGGAAACUGCUGCAAGUUCUCCCUGUGGGCACAUUCCCAGAUUUCCUUGUGAAUGAGCUUUUCUGCUGGAAUUGGACCUAAGUAUGCAGGGCCAGGAGGGCUGUUCCCUUGAACUGCUCCCACCCAGAAGCAAUACUUCUUUAUAGCUGUGGACUGAGGAGGACCCACACAACCUGCUCAGAUAUUGCUGCUUCCAGAAUAUAGCCACAUCCUGUGCAUCAGCAGGGCUAGCAGAAGUUUUUCUUUAGCCAUUUACUUUUUCUUUCCUUCUUUUCUUUGCAGAAAGAGGUAGCUUUGGAAGAAUCUCUCAAUUCCUCAUCCUGAAAGCUUCAGGAUAGCCAACAAGUCCGGGUACAAACUUGGUAUCUACUUUGCUCACACCAGUCCUCCUGAACAUCAGAGUAUCAAGAGCCAGAACUUUGUUUCCUGGCCAUCUCCAGCUGUUAUUGCACCUCCUGGCACAGGAAACAGGGCCAACUUCUCCCCUGGUCACCAGCACUGUUCAGCUAGUGUGCGUGCUGAGGAACCACAGAGCCCUGCAAUGGCCUUCAUGUGAAGUGGUUCAGACUAACAGGGUGCAUCGAGCUGGAAUUGAUGUUUGCAGCACGUUGACUUUUGUAGCAGGAAGAAAAUCAAUGGAAGGCUUCAAUUUCUCUCUUCAGACUGAAUCAGAUAAACAUUUUGAGCCAAAGCAACAGAAUUUGUCAUGGGCUGAGGAGAAACAGUCAAUCAAAAUUAUCCCAAACCCAUGUUUUGCAUUUCCAUCGCAGUGACACGGUCAGGCUUUGCUCAAUCCUGUUUCCUGUAACAAUGAGUCACAACACAAGUUUUCAUUUUCAGUUCCUUCUGUAUUUAAUGGAUGUGCAUAGGGUACUACAAGGCCUUUGGGGAUGUUGGCAGCUGGCUGCAUUCCUUCCCCUUUUCCCUGCAGGAUAACUUUUUUCCUACUUUUGGUGAUAUUCAUUCAUAAGACUUGCAUAACCGCAGGCUCUUGUCUGAGAUCUGUGAGAUUUGCUCUGGGUAGAACUUAGUUUUUGCAAUUACUAUUUUUUUUUCCCCUGCAUAAAUGCAUUUUAAUGGAAGUUUCCCAAGCUACUUUUACAUUGAGGUGUUUGCAGAAACACAGCUCAGUGUUGGGGAAAAGCUAUUCUGGUGUUUACUCAUUUCAGCCCUAUUUUGAUGUCUGAGCCAGGAAACAAAACCCUACAUCCUGAGAUCAAUGCCAGGUGAGCACCCAGCUCAGGAAAAGUGAUAGUGAAAAACCAGAAUCCACUGCCAUGAAUAGAAUGAGUUAAAAUCACUCCAAGCGAUGCCUGGCUUCUGUGAAGUCACUACCUGCUGGCAGGGACUCUGUAAGGAGAAAAACAUCUAAAUCCAUUGGAUAAAUUAUCUGUUGCAAAUUAUUUCUCCAGCUGCAAUUAGUAAUCUUCAUUUUACACAGUAGGCCUCUAAUGACCUGCUUGACAACUAUGAUGCCUGAUAGACAGUAGGGAUUUGCAUGAAAAUGAGUGUUGUUUCCUCCCUUUGAAGCCAUAAAACAGCAGCAGCAAGGAUGCUCUGCUUUCCUGUGCAGGAGUGGGAUAACCAUGCAGCGAGCUCUGGGUGAAAGGAGAUAAUUCAGCUGUAUGUGAGGAAACAGAGAAAGAAGGAAGCACUAGUCUGAACCAGAAAUAAUAGCACCCAGUGCACAAACAAGCCUAAUCAGAUCGGUUGCUAAGUGGAGUCAUGUGAAUAGCAGGUGAUGGAGUAGAAGCACAAGAUAGAGCUCAGUGA
Molecule: long non-coding RNA, 1774 nt
Filed under: Coturnix japonica (Japanese quail)
Lineage: Eukaryota; Metazoa; Chordata; Aves; Galliformes; Phasianidae
Description: lncRNA (ENSCJPG00005014261.1)
Source: RNAcentral